GACGAACGCUGGCGGCGUGCUUAACACAUGCAAGUCGAACGGAAAGGCCCUGCUUUUGUGGGGUGCUCGAGUGGCGAACGGGUGAGUAACACGUGAGUAACCUGCCCUUGACUUUGGGAUAACUUCAGGAAACUGGGGCUAAUACCGGAUAGGAGCUCCUGCUGCAUGGUGGGGGUUGGAAAGUUUCGGCGGUUGGGGAUGGACUCGCGGCUUAUCAGCUUGUUGGUGGGGUAGUGGCUUACCAAGGCUUUGACGGGUAGCCGGCCUGAGAGGGUGACCGGCCACAUUGGGACUGGGAUGCGGCCCAGACUCCUACGGGAGGCAGCAGUGGGGAAGAUUGCACAAUGGGCGGAAGCCUGAUGCAGCAACGCCGCGUGCGGGAUGACGGCCUUCGGGUUGUAAACCGCCUUCGCCUGUGACGAAGCGUGAGUGACGGUAAUGGGUAAAGAAGCACCGGCUAACUACGUG
Molecule: ribosomal RNA, 468 nt
Filed under: uncultured bacterium
Lineage: Bacteria
Description: partial 16S ribosomal RNA
Rfam family: Bacterial small subunit ribosomal RNA
Source: RNAcentral